This 2028-nucleotide ribosomal RNA is filed under the name Listeria monocytogenes. RNAcentral describes it as "partial 23S ribosomal RNA". It matches the Rfam family "Bacterial large subunit ribosomal RNA", at positions 283 to 2302 of the family's 2925-position model. Lineage: Bacteria; Bacillati; Bacillota; Bacilli; Caryophanales; Listeriaceae. The record is from RNAcentral.
GCUUGCUUCUUGGGGUUGUAGGACACUCUAUACGGAGUUACAAAAGAAAGUUAUAAAUGAAGCGGUCUGGAAAGGCCCGCCAAAGACGGUAACAGCCCGGUAGUUGAAAUGGCUUUCCCUCCAGAGUGGAUCCUGAGUACGGCGGAACACGUGAAAUUCCGUCGGAAUCCGGGAGGACCAUCUCCCAAGGCUAAAUACUCCCUAGUGACCGAUAGUGAACCAGUACCGUGAGGGAAAGGUGAAAAGCACCCCGGAAGGGGAGUGAAACAGUUCCUGAAACCGUGUGCCUACAAGUAGUUAGAGCCCGUUAAUGGGUGAUAGCGUGCCUUUUGUAGAAUGAACCGGCGAGUUACGAUUUGUUGCAAGGUUAAGCGGAAAAAGCGGAGCCGUAGCGAAAGCGAGUCUGAAUAGGGCGCAUAAGUAACAGGUCGUAGACCCGAAACCAGGUGAUCUACCCAUGUCCAGGAUGAAGGUAAGGUAAUACUUACUGGAGGUCCGAACCCACGCACGUUGAAAAGUGCGGGGAUGAGGUGUGGGUAGCGGAGAAAUUCCAAUCGAACUUGGAGAUAGCUGGUUCUCUCCGAAAUAGCUUUAGGGCUAGCCUCGAGGUAAAGAGUCAUGGAGGUAGAGCACUGUUUGGACUAGGGGCCCUUCUCGGGUUACCGAAUUCAGAUAAACUCCGAAUGCCAUGUACUUAUACUCGGGAGUCAGACUGCGAGUGAUAAGAUCCGUAGUCGAAAGGGAAACAGCCCAGACCACCAGUUAAGGUCCCCAAAUAUAUGUUAAGUGGAAAAGGAUGUGGGGUUGCUUAGACAACCAGGAUGUUGGCUUAGAAGCAGCCACCAUUGAAAGAGUGCGUAAUAGCUCACUGGUCGAGUGACCCCGCGCCGAAAAUGUACCGGGGCUAAACAUAUUACCGAAACUGUGGAUGAACCUCUUUAGAGGUUCGUGGUAGGAGAGCGUUCUAAGGGCGGUGAAGUCAGACCGGAAGGACUGGUGGAGCGCUUAGAAGUGAGAAUGCCGGUAUGAGUAGCGAAAGAAGGGUGAGAAUCCCUUCCACCGAAUAUCUAAGGUUUCCUGAGGAAGGCUCGUCCGCUCAGGGUUAGUCGGGACCUAAGCCGAGGCCGAUAGGCGUAGGCGAUGGACAACAGGUAGAGAUUCCUGUACCAGUGCUAAUUGUUUAACCGAUGGGGUGACACAGAAGGAUAGGGAAUCGCACGAAUGGAAAUGUGCGUCCAAGCAGUGAGUGUGAGAAGUAGGCAAAUCCGCUUCUCGCGAAGCAUGAGCUGUGAUGGGGAAGGAAAUUAAGUACGGAAGUUCCUGAUUUCACGCUGUCAAGAAAAGCCUCUAGGAAGAGUAGUACUGCCCGUACCGCAAACCGACACAGGUAGAUGAGGAGAGAAUCCUAAGGUGAGCGAGAGAACUCUCGUUAAGGAACUCGGCAAAAUGACCCCGUAACUUCGGGAGAAGGGGUGCUCUAUUAGGGUGCAAGCCCGAGAGAGCCGCAGUGAAUAGGCCCAGGCGACUGUUUAGCAAAAACACAGGUCUCUGCAAAACCGUAAGGUGACGUAUAGGGGCUGACGCCUGCCCGGUGCUGGAAGGUUAAGAGGAGUGCUUAGCUUCGGCGAAGGUACGAAUUGAAGCCCCAGUAAACGGCGGCCGUAACUAUAACGGUCCUAAGGUAGCGAAAUUCCUUGUCGGGUAAGUUCCGACCCGCACGAAAGGCGCAACGAUCUGGGCACUGUCUCAACGAGAGACUCGGUGAAAUUAUAGUACCUGUGAAGAUGCAGGUUACCCGCGACAGGACGGAAAGACCCCGUGGAGCUUUACUGCAACCUGAUAUGGAAUGUUUGUACCGCUUGUACAGGAUAGGUAGGAGCCGAAGAGACGUGUGCGCUAGCAUACGAGGAGGCAAUGGUGGGAUACUACCCUGGCUGUAUGACCAUUCUAACCCGCCACGCUUAGCGCGUGGGGAGACAGUGUCAGGUGGGCAGUUUGACUGGGGCGGUCGCCUCCUAAAGAGUAACG